CAUUCCUGACAGCCAGAACAUUUGCUUGGUCCAGUAACUUCUUUUGAAUCUGAGGACAAAUUAAGUCCGAGAGUUUUUCCUUAGCUUCAUCUCCCUGUCCUCACCCUUCAAUGUGCUAAAUGGUAUUCUUCGACUUUUUGCCUGUUUGAUGUGACAUAUUUCCAUUUUGAGGUGCUUUGGCUUUCAAUAUAACUCCUGAAUGUGGACAAGAACUUAUCUAAUUUCACAUGUUAUGUUCCUAUCCUAGGAGAGCAUUCUGUCAACCCAUUUGUAUAUUUUAUUUAUUCUUGAGUGAAAUAUGAUGUAUCUUCUUAGGAGGGUAUCAUUAUUCAGGGACUGGUGCCAGAACAAAUGUCUUGUUCUAUGUAAUGCUGGAGGAAAUCGAAAA
This 388-nucleotide long non-coding RNA is filed under the name Coffea arabica (coffee). Its description in RNAcentral is "long non-coding RNA (CARA_LNC001029)". The record is from RNAcentral. Lineage: Eukaryota; Viridiplantae; Streptophyta; Magnoliopsida; Gentianales; Rubiaceae.